RNAcentral lists this ribosomal RNA (491 nucleotides) under uncultured bacterium. RNAcentral describes it as "partial 16S ribosomal RNA". It matches the Rfam family "Bacterial small subunit ribosomal RNA", at positions 29 to 506 of the family's 1533-position model. The record is from RNAcentral.
AGUGAACGCUGGCGGUAGGCCUAACACAUGCAAGUCGAACGGCAGCACAGUAAGAGCUUGCUCUUACGGGUGGCGAGUGGCGGACGGGUGAGGAAUACAUCUGAAUCUACUUUUUCGUGGGGGAUAACGUAGGGAAACUUACGCUAAUACCGCAUACGACCUACGGGUGAAAGCAGGGGAUCUUCGGACCUUGCGCGAUUGAAUGAGCCGAUGUCGGAUUAGCUAGUUGGCGGGGUAAAGGCCCACCAAGGCGACGAUCCGUAGCUGGUCUGAGAGGAUGAUCAGCCACACUGGAACUGAGACACGGUCCAGACUCCUACGGGAGGCAGCAGUGGGGAAUAUUGGACAAUGGGCGCAAGCCUGAUCCAGCCAUACCGCGUGGGUGAAGAAGGCCUGCGGGUUGUAAAGCCCUUUUGUUGGGAAAGAAAAGCAGCAGGUUAAUACCCCGCUGUUCUGACGGUACCCAAAGAAUAAGCACCGGCUAACUUCGU